This 303-nucleotide unclassified non-coding RNA is filed under the name fungal sp. RNAcentral's name for it is "partial internal transcribed spacer region". The stretch from base 1 to 46 matches the Rfam family "Eukaryotic small subunit ribosomal RNA", at positions 1786 to 1831 of the family's 1831-position model. The record is from RNAcentral. Lineage: Eukaryota; Fungi.
AAGUCGUAACAAGGUAACCGUAGGUGAACCUGCGGUUGGAUCAUUAAAAAAAAGUGCCCACCUUCGGGUGGGUUGGUGGAAUACCAUCCAUCAAACCCCAACUGUGAACCGUUAGCGUCUCUGGCGGCUGAAGGGCGUUGCUUUGUCUUCCCCUUUGAGGACGUUGCCGCCGCGAAAUAUCGUGGAGGCAACGGACGAACCCGCCAACCUAUUUUUUAACUCUGUUAUACAUAUUCGUGGCUUUGUCUGACACUUGUAUUCGACGAAUGCAAACAACUUUUGGCAACGGAUCUCUUGGCUCUC